RNAcentral lists this ribosomal RNA (497 nucleotides) under uncultured bacterium. RNAcentral's name for it is "partial 16S ribosomal RNA". It matches the Rfam family "Bacterial small subunit ribosomal RNA", at positions 28 to 507 of the family's 1533-position model. The record is from RNAcentral.
GACGAACGCUGGCGGCGUGCCUAAUACAUGCAAGUUGAGCGCUGAAGGUUGGUACUGGUACCAACUGGAUGAGCAGCGAACGGGUGAGUAACGCGUGGGGAAUCUGCCUUUGAGCGGGGGACAACAUUAGGAAACGAAUGCUAAUACCGCAUAAAAACUUUAAACACAAGUUUUAAGUGUGAAAGAUGCAAUUGCAUCACUCAAAGAUGAUCCCGCGUUGUAUUAGCUAGUUGGUGAGGUAAAGGCUCACCAAGGCGAUGAUACAUAGCCGACCUGAGAGGGUGAUCGGCCACAUUGGGACUGAGACACGGCCCAAACUCCUACGGGAGGCAGCCGUAGGGAAUCUUCGGCAAUGGACGAAAGUCUGACCGAGCAACGCCGCGUGAGUGAAGAAGGUUUUCGGAUCGUAAAACUCUGUUGGUAGAGAAGAACGUUGGUGAGAGUGGAAAGCUCAUCAAGUGACGGUAACUACCCAGAAAGGGACGGCUAACUCCGUG